UCGCAGUAUGGGAUGGGGUCGCGUCCUAUCAGCUUGACGGCGGGGUAACGGCCCACCGUGGCUUCGACGGGUAGCCGGCCUGAGAGGGCGACCGGCCACAUUGGGACUGAGAUACGGCCCAGACUCCUACGGGAGGCAGCAGUGGGGAAUAUUGCACAAUGGGCGCAAGCCUGAUGCAGCGACGCCGCGUGAGGGAUGGAGGCCUUCGGGUUGUAAACCUCUUUUAUCGGGGAGCAAGCGAGAGUGAGUUUACCCGUUGAAUAAGCACCGGCUAACUACGUGCCAGCAGCCGCGGUAAUACGUAGGGUGCAAGCGUUAUCCGGAAUUAUUGGGCGUAAAGGGCUCGUAGGCGGUUCGUCGCGUCCGGUGUGAAAGUCCAUCGCUUAACGGUGGAUCCGCGCCGGGUACGGGCGGG
Molecule: ribosomal RNA, 415 nt
Filed under: uncultured Bifidobacterium sp.
Lineage: Bacteria; Bacillati; Actinomycetota; Actinomycetes; Bifidobacteriales; Bifidobacteriaceae
Description: bacterial SSU rRNA
Rfam family: Bacterial small subunit ribosomal RNA
Source: RNAcentral